RNAcentral lists this unclassified non-coding RNA (21 nucleotides) under Mus musculus (house mouse). Its description in RNAcentral is "oocyte_clustered_small_RNA8667". Lineage: Eukaryota; Metazoa; Chordata; Mammalia; Rodentia; Muridae. The record is from RNAcentral.
UGAGGCGGCAUGGCCUACUGU